GAACGCACAUUGCGCCCCUUGGUAUUCCAUGGGGCAUGCCUGUUCGAGCGUCAUUUGUACUCUCAAGCCUAGCUUGGUGUUGGGUGUUUGUCUUUGCUUUUGCGUAGACUCACCUUAAAUAUAUUGGCAGCCGGUAUACUGGUUUGAAGCGCAGCACAUUUGCCAUUCAAGCUUGUUAUUAUCAGCACCCACAAAGUUUUUAAACACUUUUGACCUCGGAUCAGGUAGGGAUACCCGCUGAACUUAAG
RNAcentral lists this unclassified non-coding RNA (248 nucleotides) under uncultured fungus. Its description in RNAcentral is "sequence contains 5.8S rRNA gene". The stretch from base 1 to 53 matches the Rfam family "5.8S ribosomal RNA", at positions 102 to 154 of the family's 154-position model. The record is from RNAcentral. Lineage: Eukaryota; Fungi.